GACGAACGCUGGCGGCGUGCUUAACACAUGCAAGUCGAACGGAAAGGCCCUGCUUUUGUGGGGUGCUCGAGUGGCGAACGGGUGAGUAACACGUGAGUAACCUGCCCUUGACUUUGGGAUAACUUCAGGAAACUGGGGCUAAUACCGGAUAGGAGCUCCUGCUGCAUGGUGGGGGUUGGAAAGUUUCGGCGGUUGGGGAUGGACUCGCGGCUUAUCAGCUUGUUGGUGGGGUAGUGGCUUACCAAGGCUGUGACGGGUAGCCGGCCUGAGAGGGUGACCGGCCACAUGGGGACUGAGAUACGGCCCAGACUCCUACGGGAGGCAGCAGUGGGGAACAUUGCACAAUGGGCGCAAGCCUGAUGCAGCAACGCCGCGUGCGGGAUGACGGCCUGCGGGUUGUAAACCGCUUUCGCCUGUGACGAAGCGGGAGUGACGGUAAUGGGUAAAGAAGCACCGGCUAACUACGUG
RNAcentral lists this ribosomal RNA (468 nucleotides) under uncultured bacterium. RNAcentral describes it as "partial 16S ribosomal RNA". It matches the Rfam family "Bacterial small subunit ribosomal RNA", at positions 28 to 507 of the family's 1533-position model. The record is from RNAcentral.